UAUAAUUAUUUUAAUGAGAAUAGUUUUUUAAAUAAAUCAUUAAAUCAUAUAUAUCAAUCUCCACGGCAACUGUAGUGGAGAGGAAAAAAUAGGAAGGAAACAUAAUUAAAUGACUGGGCCUGUACCUGGAAUGUCCAGCAGGGGCCGCUCCACAGCAACUGCAGUGGAGAAAACAGUACAUGAAGAAGUGGCAAUUCACUGGGUUAGCCGCUACCCACAUGGAAAACGGGAAGCAAUGCUCCUGCACCUGGAAUCUCCAGCAGGAGUUGCUUCACUACAGCUGUAGGUGAGAUUAAAUAGGAAGAUUUAGAUUGAUAGAUUAAUUUAUACUUUUAUUUCUGUACUGUAGGACAGAAAAACAGAAGGAGCGUGACUCAUUUGGAGGGGGAAAAUCAAGGCUCCUGCAACUGUAAUCUCCAGCAGGAGCCGUUCUACUACAACUGUAGGACAGAAAAACAGAAGGAGCGUGACUCAUUUGGAAGGGGAAAACCAAGGCUCCUGCAACUGUAAUCUCCAGCAGGAGCCGUUCUACUACAACUGUAGGACAGAAAAACAGAAGGAGCGUGACUCAUUUGGAAGGGGAAAAUCAAGGCUCCUGCAACUGUAAUCUCCAGCAGGAGCCGUUCUACUACAACUGUAGGUGAGAAAAUAGAGCCAUAUAAAGCUAGAAUAGGCAGUUGGGUUAUCCAUGACCCAUCUGGAAGAGUAGAAUCAGUGGUCCUGUAUCUGG
Molecule: long non-coding RNA, 730 nt
Organism: Pygocentrus nattereri (red-bellied piranha)
Lineage: Eukaryota; Metazoa; Chordata; Actinopteri; Characiformes; Serrasalmidae
Exons: 3
Source: RefSeq, a predicted model, not a curated record